This 164-nucleotide ribosomal RNA is filed under the name Ajuga reptans (bugle). Its description in RNAcentral is "5.8S ribosomal RNA". It matches the Rfam family "5.8S ribosomal RNA". From Rfam's summary of the family: 5.8S ribosomal RNA (5.8S rRNA) is a component of the large subunit of the eukaryotic ribosome. It is transcribed by RNA polymerase I as part of the 45S precursor that also contains 18S and 28S rRNA. Functionally, it is thought that 5.8S rRNA may be involved in ribosome translocation. The record is from RNAcentral. Lineage: Eukaryota; Viridiplantae; Streptophyta; Magnoliopsida; Lamiales; Lamiaceae.
AAAACGACUCUCGGCAACGGAUAUCUCGGCUCUCGCAUCGAUGAAGAACGUACCGAAAUGCGAUACUUGGUGUGAAUUGCAGAAUCCCGUGAACCAUCGAGUCUUUGAACGCAAGUUGCGCCCGAAGCCGUCAGGCCGAGGGCACGUCUGCCUGGGCGUCACGC